AAUGGAAAUCAAAACUCAUCAGCAGCUUCACAUUUUCUUCCUUCCAUUUAUGGGUCAAGGGCACACUUUACCCCUCAUAGAUAUAGCAAAACUCUUUGCUUCACGUGGAGAAAAAUCCUCCAUAAUAACCACCCCAGCCAAUGCACCACUCUUCACCAAAGCAAUCCAAACAAGUAGAAGUUCGGGUUUGGAAAUUGAAAUUCUUCUCAUCAAAUUCCCAUCUUCCGAAGUAGGGUUGCCUGAAGGAAUUGAAAGUUCUAACGACUGGGGUAAAACCGCAGAGAUAGCAGAAAAGUUCUUCAAAGCUCUAACACUACUUAAACAUCAGGUAGAGCAGCUUCUACAUCAAUAUCAUCCUCACUGUCUUGUUGCAAGCUCUUUGUUUCAUUGGUCUACGGAUCUUGCUGCCAAGUUUGGGAUUCCGAGGCUCAUAUUUCAAGGACCUGGUUUCUUCUCCUUGUGUGCUGCAAUGAGUGUUACGUUGUACCAACCUCACAUGAAGGUUGCAUCUGAUUCAGAAUCUUUUAUUGUUCCUAAUCUCCCACAUGAGAUCAAGAUGACAAGAAACGAACUACCAUCUUUUUUAAAACAAGAGGGUGAGACAGAGCUCAUGAAGUUGCUCAGAGAGUGUAGAGAGACUGAGAAAAGGAGCUAUGGGAUUAUCAUCAACAGCUUCUAUGAACUUGAACCAGAUUAUGCAGAUCACUAUAGGAUGGCGUUCGGGAGGAGGUCAUGGCAUAUCGGCCCGGUUUCGUUAUGCAACACGGCAGAAAACGAUAAAUUAGCGAGGGGAAGGGAAGGCUCAGUUGAUGAAGUACAUGAGUGCUUGCAGUGGCUUAAUUCUAAGAAACCCAGUUCGGUUGUUUAUGUAUGCUUUGGAAGCCUGAAUACUUUCAGUGAUAGUGUGCUCUUAGAAAUCGCAUUGGGACUUGAGGCUUCACAACAGCAAUUCAUUUGGGUUGUCAAGAAGGAAAACAAUAAUCAAGAAGAGUGGUUGCCUAAAGGAUUUGAGCAGAGAAUGGAUGGCAAGGGACUUAUUAUAAGAGGUUGGGCUCCUCAGCUAUUGAUUCUUCAACAUGAAGCAGUUGGGGCCUUUCUGACUCAUUGUGGGUGGAACUCAAUCCUUGAGGGAGUGACUGCUGGGGUGCCAAUGAUCACCUGGCCGCUGUUUGCAGACCAGUUUUACAACGAGAAGUUGGUGACUCAGAUACUUGGU
This 1216-nucleotide long non-coding RNA is filed under the name Fragaria vesca (wild strawberry). Its description in RNAcentral is "long non-coding RNA (FVES_LNC003261)". The record is from RNAcentral. Lineage: Eukaryota; Viridiplantae; Streptophyta; Magnoliopsida; Rosales; Rosaceae.